CAGCAUAAUGGAUAGCAAUAUCUAUGGUGGCGACCGGCGCACGGGUGAGUAACACGUAUCCAACCUGCCGUCUACUCUUGGACAGCCUUCUGAAAGGGAGAUUAAUACAAGAUGUUAUCAUGAGUAAGCAUUUUCGCAUGAUUAAAGGUUUACCGGUGUAAGAUGGGGAUGCGUUCCAUUAGGUUGUUGGCGGGGUAACGGCCCACCAAGCCUUCGAUGGAUAGGGGUUCUGAGAGGAAGGUCCCCACAUUGGAACUGAGACACGGUCCAAACUCC
RNAcentral lists this ribosomal RNA (276 nucleotides) under uncultured Bacteroides sp. Its description in RNAcentral is "partial 16S ribosomal RNA". It matches the Rfam family "Bacterial small subunit ribosomal RNA", at positions 65 to 339 of the family's 1533-position model. Lineage: Bacteria; Pseudomonadati; Bacteroidota; Bacteroidia; Bacteroidales; Bacteroidaceae. The record is from RNAcentral.